CCGUGUGUUCACCACUCAGCAUCCCCACGGCAUGCCGCGCCGUCGGAGGGGUUCAGUGUGAGCUCCUGUCGCCGGGCACGCACCGUCCUCAGUGGCCUUGUGGGUCGUCCUGGGCUAAGGGCUCUCCCCACUCCUGUCCCCGCACAGAACAUCCCUGUGCCCUCUCCUCCCACAGCACUUUCCGCUGACAUUCUCGCUUUCUGACGGGAUUCUGUAGCUGCUCGCUGUCCCCUUUGUAAAGGGAGUGGCGUCUCGGCAGCCGGGGCAAGUGUCCGGGCCCUGUCACGGGGUCCGCGCACGCUCGUGGGUCCCGUCUGACCAGCGUAACCGUCCCCGGGACUCUGGACUGCCAAGGGUGGGGACGGUGACGGCGGCCUCCCGGUGUGUGUCUCAAGAAGGGAAGCUUCGCCGCAAAGCUGUCAGGGGAGCGGCCACUGCCACACAGGGUGGACCUUCGCCGGGAGUGGCCUGUCCUGCACUUGGUGCUUGUGUCUUACUACGAUUUUAGAACGUUUGCCGGUUGCUAAAAAGCCUGUUCUUCAUGUCACCGACUGAACACCCUGUUGUGUGGCAGCGUUUUCCAGUCAGCGGUUUCUGUCUGUCCAUGAAAUGGGCUGUUUUAGCAUAGAAAGAACGUACUUGGCGGUGCUGGGACCGUUUCGGACGUAACUAAUGUCUCUCCGGAUGCGGAGUUAACAGAUCCCCACCCAGACGUGGCCUGGGCGCCGCUGUUUCCCACGGGUGUAGACGCCCUCACGGCGGGACUCGCCACGGCGUGUUUGCGGGACGUGGUAACGCGGUCACACUGGGGCUGGAGAGUGCGCUGGAGGUCACAGCUGGCGUCAGGUCACGGGCAGAGUGUCCGUGGCCCGCAGGCGACCCGUUGCAUCUCCCUAGGGCGUGGCUUUCCGCGGAGAGUGUUGGGUGUCGCGGCCGAGGCCCGGCGGACCCACCAGGAGCUUGGCGAGGUUCUUCGGGGUCGCGCGUCCGGUGUUGGCGCCGCGCUCCUUCCGCCCCGCCUCCUGUCACGGGUGCCCCUGUCGCAGCGACACGCGGGUCAGCGAGCCUCGUCACAGGCUGUGUCUUACGCUGUGUCUUUGUUGCGGUACUCAGUUGGGGUUUCGUAACGGUUGGUACCCAUGCUGGACUGUGACCAAGAAAAGAUGGUUUAUGUUUCUCCGGGCUUGUGGACUCAAGUUCUGCAGUUUUGUACUUAACCGACUGACCUGUGGGCUUCCUGUCCACAGGGAUGCACGUUACGUGCUCUAAGCCGCCGUUCCCUCUCAGAGCCAGGCCCUCUGUGGGUCAGCUGUCCUUCUGUCCAACCGUGGGACACGUUCACUCAGACCUGUGACCCUGGCCUUGUGCUGGAUUACCUGCCCCUCCCACUGGAGCUGCUGGUUUGCUUAAUUCCUAGGUGGAGGUCAUGGCCCCUGGUUGUGCUUCUUGUCCUUUGUUACAUUUAAAGUAGCUUUUUUUUUUUUUUUUAAGUUUUAUUUAUUUGAGAGAGCGAGCGAGGUCCGCUUUUGAACUGUUGAGACCCUGGGGUCCUGAGUAGGAAGCUGCCCUGCCCCCCGCCCUGCCUGGGGCGUGGGACUUUGUGCCGGUGCCCGUGUCUGUGGUAACCCCAGGAGCACGUCGUACCCUCGCCGUGAAGACACCGUGGGCCGCAUACGCGUUCUGGGAUGGGUCUGCCGCCUCCCGCCAUGACCGCUGGGAUCCAGGUGUGUUCUGGGAUGGGUCUGCCGCUGCCCGCCGUGACCGCUGGGAUCCAGGCACAUGCGGAGGCAGGACGCUGCUCCCAGACUGAAUGAGCCAACCAGCCCCGAUGGCGGUUCUUUUUUCUGGACAUCCUGGUGCUGCCAGAGCCCGGCACUGUGCCUUUUGUUGCCAAGACCUGGGGCCCCAGUUCUCUGCCGUGUCACACCGGCGACCAUGCAGCAGCCCCCUGACUUGCCGAAUUAGCAUCCAGAGUCUGUGUGUUAGCUAAUUCGGACAGAUCAUGAUGUCCCCGGUCUCCGAGUGAGGCACAGGGUCCAGGCCCAGAGCCAAAAUGGAUCUGCUUCUGUUAGGUCAGAAUGAAAGAAACUUGGGGAAGUGAAAUGAUUCUCUUCGGUUGUGUGCUUUGGCAGCGUGCUCUUCUCCGUACGUGCGCUGGUCAGCAGGCAUUCCUCCCACAGCUGGAGUGGACAGGGUCCCUGAACCCUUACAAGUUACAGGCGUGGAUUUAGUGGUCGAGCUUCUAGAAGGAGACUCGUGGUCACGGUGUCUGUUCUGCAGUGUCUGCUCUCGCAGGACGUGGGUGCUGGAGGGGAGGAGUGUCGUCCCGCGUGAGGCCUGGCCACGGCUCUGGGCGAACUGUCCCCACCCUCAGGAAUGAAGGCCCCACUUUUGUGCUUCUCGUAAGCGCACCCAAGUCCAGUUGUGAGGGUAGCUGAUGCUCGAAGCUAAAUUCUAAAUGAAAGGAGGGCUUCCUGCAUGUCGUCAUUUCCAAGAUGCUUUGUCAUAGAUUCAGCAGGACUGAGUAAAUGUUUAGUUCCUAGUAAUCACCAGUAUUCAUCAUCAGCAAGAUUUUU
Long non-coding RNA from Mustela erminea (ermine), 2576 nucleotides. RefSeq lists it as uncharacterized. The transcript has 2 exons. The record is from RefSeq and is a predicted model, not a curated record. Lineage: Eukaryota; Metazoa; Chordata; Mammalia; Carnivora; Mustelidae.